Molecule: unclassified non-coding RNA, 587 nt
Filed under: Hevea brasiliensis (rubber tree)
Lineage: Eukaryota; Viridiplantae; Streptophyta; Magnoliopsida; Malpighiales; Euphorbiaceae
Source: RNAcentral
ACCAGUGAUCUCCAGCUGUUUCCUCCCCUUCCCUAGCUUGUUCUGGUUUUCUCCUCUCAACUACUGCAUCAAGUCUGGUAAAAUCUGCUAUGCCAUGUUAAUUUCUGUUAAAUUUAUUUUGGUUGUUUAAGGUAUUGAUGAAGCUUGGAUCUGUUGAUUUGUGGAUGGAUUUGGGUGUAUGGUGCUAGGUACGCGCCUAUAAUUUACAGGAUCUGUCAAAAGAGGGUUUUCUGUGGGUUUUGAAAAUUGUUAAGAAUAUCAACCCCAGAAGAGAUUAACUCUCUGGGUAAGAUAGAUGGGGAUCCUGAUAUUUCCUUGGAAAAGCUUUGCAUAUCUUGGGUUGAUUUUUAAUUAAAGACCGAUGAACUGGUUUUUAGUUUGCUUAUCUUUUAGGGUCUGUGUUAACUUCUAAAUUACUUUCAUUAAUUUAAAAUUGUACUUCUUGAUUAAAAAAAUUAAAAUUGUACUUGCUGAUUUUCUUUAUUUAUGUUAAAUGGCUAUUUUUAAUUAAAAAAUAUUUAAUUAUUCAAAAUUUUUUAAUCAUUCUGUUAAUUUUUUUUCAUGAGUCAAAAUUAAUUAAGUUAUUA